Molecule: long non-coding RNA, 372 nt
Filed under: Amborella trichopoda
Lineage: Eukaryota; Viridiplantae; Streptophyta; Magnoliopsida; Amborellales; Amborellaceae
Description: long non-coding RNA (ATRI_LNC000141)
Source: RNAcentral
UUCAAAGGAAAGAGAGUUAUUAUCCCCACCCAAUCUGUGCAGUCCAUGUUAUAUUCGAAGUCAUCACAGCCAGGUGAGUAUAAGAUUCUAUGCAUUCUUGGAUGCCGCCAUGCUUUUACUGACUUUUUCUUUUUCUUGGGCCACAUCACAAGUGCAAGCUGGUGGGUUAUCUCAAAUCUGGUCGAAGAGGUUAUUGUUCAUGAGAUGGUAAUUAUUAGAGGUUUUAGUUUGAGGUUUUGGUCAAGUGGAGAAGGCUAGAGAGCUCAAUGUCUGAGGAAGAUGCCUUGAGUGGGAAAGUAGGGAUCCAGCGUAGAUGGCGAUGUUGGGACAAUUGGGGGCGAGGGAUAUCUAUGUAUUGUUAGUUUAGGAGGG